UGUGAAUGAGUCACUGCAAACGAUUCUGUUUCCUAAUGGUCUUGAAACUUUUGAAAUGGAGAAUUCAGCAGUUUUUAAUAAGGAUAAGGGGUGGGGGGUGUUUGCUCACCUUGUAAAAACCAAUAGGAAGACAGAAACCAUUUCUGUCAAGUUCAGAAACAAACAUCGCUGGUUAUUGCCUCGAUUGAUCCAAACUGUACAAUCUGGACUCAGCAGAUACUAAGGAUGAUUUAUUUCAAGGAUUAUCGGAACAGAAUUGCACCUAUGGGAGCAUUUGAAGGAGUUUAUUUCUUUGAGUAUACCUCAAUAGCCUGGCUCAAGUGCCCAUCUCCUCGUCUCUUCUCAGUCCACCUUCCCAUUAUUUAGCUCCAAAUGGUCUGAAGAACAAAAAAGCUAAAGUAUGUCGCAGAAAUUGCUUAAAGACUUUUCCCCAGACAAGUCUUUGUCUCUGGCCUAAUUCAUUCAUAUCCUUUCAUAUGUUUUGUUUAUUAAUUUUAUAGUGAUGAUUUUGCUUUAAAGAUUUAAAACCCAUAUAUGGAAUUGUACAUACAUUUAUACAUUAGUCACCACAUAUGCCGUUUUUCAGUGCAAUCAUAUAAAUGAAUAAUGUUCACAUCAGUACAGAGAACUUCAUUCUUGUUAGGGCUUCAUCCAAUUUAAUUGUGAGCCAUAUGUAAGAUAGUCAUUUAUAUGUUACAUUUUGACAAUCAUUCAUAGACAUAAUAUUGAUGUAUAUGUUAUAGUGUAACAGGCAUACUUAUAUAUCUCUGUGCUUUUGUUUGUGUGAAAUGUUUCCCUAAAAGUUGAAUUUCAGGUGAAACUAUACAAAUACUUUAAAUCAUCUAGGGGGUUUGUGCAUGUGUUUUGAUCAUGCAUCAACUUACAUGUCUUCAACUAGCAUAGAAGAAUGCUUCUUUCCUCAUGAAAACAGUUCUUCUCAGUGAUUGGAAUGAUGGAUUUUGUUAAUGUACUAAGUAAAAAGAUUUCAUUCUGGAA
This is a long non-coding RNA of Echinops telfairi (small Madagascar hedgehog), 996 nucleotides long. RefSeq lists it as uncharacterized. Lineage: Eukaryota; Metazoa; Chordata; Mammalia; Afrosoricida; Tenrecidae. The record is from RefSeq and is a predicted model, not a curated record. The transcript is spliced from 2 exons.